UGAUAUUUUUAAAUUGUUAUUGCCCCCGCCCCUUUUUUUUUAUUACUGAAACCAAUUACACAGUGCCAACUUCGCCGCCUUUUUAGCAAGGAAAGCGCAACUACCCUUGAGAGACUAUCGGAAAGUUCUGGAUGUAAACCCCCCAGCAAACCACGCCUCUCAUGACGGCAGACAACAGGCUGAUGGAUUUGGGAGCCACGGGCCGGGUUUCCCUGUCAGCCGUACCCUUCAACUCUGCUCCGUGAGGCGGGACUCACCGUAAACUUCGUGUUCAAGCUUAGAGCGAGGCAAAUGCAGGAGGUGGCGAGCCGCAGGUAGUUACGAAAGCCUCGGUGGGGUCUGCCUCCAUGCCCGCUCGGGCACGGCAGCGCCGGCAGCUCCCUGAGGGCGCCCGGAGCGCCGCCAUUUCCCCUCAGGCGCUUCCUGCCUUGUCUGACAACACCGGGCCUGAGCCUGCCACAGCACUCCUCGUUAGUAUAGUGUCGGGAACAUGGCUGGAAGAGUGUGGCGGAGAGCAGUUGACGUCCGCGGCGGUGGCGCCGGGCAUUGGGCAGCCGUGAUCGUAUAGUGCAGGAAGAAACAAAGAAACGAGGGAAUUCGGAGCCACUCCCCGAGAGUCUCAGCUCAGAGCAGGAACCCUCCAGCAGGAAAAGGAUUGUCCCCAGGAAUGCCCCCGUUCUUUUGCACAGGGCGAGGCGGGGCUGCCCCCGGCCCGCCCGGCGCCGUGGCUUAGCUGGUUAAAGCGCCUGUCUAGUAAACAGGAGAUCCUGGGUUCGAAUCCCAGCGGUGCCUGGGUUAUCCAUGGCGUUCCCCGUAGGUUUAUUUUGGGAGAGCCGCCUCUGUCCCCUCGCCGGGUUUCUUCCCACUCAUCCCGUGCCCGCAGCAGCGCAGCGCGGCCCAAGCUGCUCGUGUCUGCACUGUAGCAGGAUAAGCUGGGCAGGGCGCCGAUCGUUUUCAUCACUUACACUGCAGGGACGGCGGGGUCUCCCUGUCCCCAUGAGCCGCCCCCUCGAGGGGCGUCCUCUAGCGCUGACGGAGUCCCGGCCCGUGUCGGUUCUUACAGGAAAUCGGGCUGUGCCCUCCUGCGGAGACCGCCCGUGACGGGGCAGCCCUGAGCAGGGCCUUUCCUUCAGCCCCUCGCUUCCUCACGUCCGGCAGGACACUGUCCUCCACACGCAUCCGCCCCGGCCAAUCAAACCGUAACCCCAGCGGCGGCAGCUUUUACUUGGCUCUGCAGGCGAACACGGCAGGGUGUGGGCGCCUCCAAAAGGUGGGAGUUUUCUCCCGCUUCUGCUGAUCUGCCCAAGGAGUGCUGGAAGAAACCACGCCAGAAGGCCCCAUCACGUGGGCGAGGCCCAAAAAGGGCUGCUGGCCCGUACGGGGAUCGAACCCGCGACCUUGGCGUUAUUAGCACCACGCUCUAACCAACUGAGCUAACCGGCCACUCGCUUGGGGUGUUUAUCAUCAGUACUUUACAUGUCAGAUACAGCCAGGGCGGUGCUGACUGCGGCUGCCGUGGCACCGACCCCGACGGAGCCAAUCCGUGACGGCGUUUCCUGCCCGGAACAGAGGCGCAAAUGCGUGGGCACCACGCGUGUCCCUGGCGCACUUGCCUCCUGCGCUGGCCCAGCCGCGGCUGGGCACGGACGGCGCCCCGUCAGCGCCCACCCGCGUUUGACCGGACCAUGCAUCAAAACAGCGCCUCACAGGGCACAAGCAGAAAAGGCGAUGUCAGGAGUGGGAUUCGAACCCACGCCUCCAGGGGAGACUGCGACCUGAACGCAGCGCCUUAGACCGCUCGGCCAUCCUGACUGCUGUGGGAACGUUCUGGCCGGCCCAAUUCGGUUCCGCAGCAGUCCGGAGCUCCCCCGAGCCAGCGCAGGGUAAGCGUCCAUCGUUUCUGGCACCUGAACAGACAGGAUGCCGGGAUAGCAGAGCACUCCAGCUGCCUUUUGCAGCCCUCAGGCGCUGUAUAAGCGCCCCUGAAAGGCCACCCUGAAACAGCACUCAGCAGCAGGAACCACUGUUCUGUCACCCCCUCCAGAGAUCACAGGUGAAGGGCGCUCUCAACCCCCCACAAGAGACCAAGGAUUUUUGGGUUACAAAGACCUUCUUGCAUUAGAGCAGUCCAGAGACCAGGACUAACAUUAGAGAUACAGUUUUGCUCAAACCUGUAGAUAACUGUGCAAACCGAAGUCACUUAUUUAUUAUUACUUAAAAAUAAUUGUGUGAUUUUGGUAUUCAAAGUCAAUUCACAUCACUUUGCAGCAGAAAUCUGCCAGUUCAUGCGAUGGCAGCUAAAGGUAGGUGCUAGACCUUCAACUUCAGACUGUCCUCAAAACUAAUAGUCAGGAAAAAAAAUCCCCACAAUUAGAAACUCAGGUUCUGUUUUACAGAAAAAUAAAAGAAAUCUAAGUCCCUGCUUCAGUAAAUGUUCUGAGCAGGGUAGAAAAAGUCCUCCUCAAGAACAAAGGAGAAAGUGAAGUAUUUGUGAUGGUGGAACAGCAGGCCAGGGGCCUUACAAACUGAACCCUGACUUGAGCCGACCGAAACCGUGAGAAAGCUGCCAGCUCUUUGUGAGAAGAGAGUCCUGCAGCAGUGGAAAACAACCUGCUCUCUCUGAGAAGAAACUCUAGGACUGUGAAAAACAUUAGCCACCUGCAUGAACUUUUUGCAACCCUUAGGUAGAAAAAUGAAAACAUAUAACAACUUUUUCUGCAUGUACACACCAGGGGAUUGAGUGACCAGUCAGUACAGGGUAACAACUUGUUACUACCCAAUCAGGGAUAGACACAGGGUGUUCUUUAAAACUCUAUAUAAAGAGACAUGGGAAUAAACUGACCCC
Molecule: long non-coding RNA, 2845 nt
Organism: Pyrgilauda ruficollis (rufous-necked snowfinch)
Lineage: Eukaryota; Metazoa; Chordata; Aves; Passeriformes; Passeridae
Exons: 3
Source: RefSeq, a predicted model, not a curated record